GGGUCCUUCUCUCUCCUCGAUACAGGGUCGUCCAUUUUGUUUUCUUUGUGUUUUAUUAGAACUUUUUGACUAUUUGUUUUGUUAUCUUUGUGUAUAAGAUUUUUCUACUUGUAGUUGCAAAUAUGUCUGAAUACAUUUUAGAAUUAGUCACUGUGUCAUUGCUGGACAUGAGUUAUUUUAACUGGUACUAGCAAAUAUACCCGUGCAUUACGUCA
Molecule: long non-coding RNA, 215 nt
Filed under: Sorghum bicolor (sorghum)
Lineage: Eukaryota; Viridiplantae; Streptophyta; Magnoliopsida; Poales; Poaceae
Description: long non-coding RNA (SBIC_LNC011704)
Source: RNAcentral